This 249-nucleotide ribosomal RNA is filed under the name uncultured bacterium. Its description in RNAcentral is "partial 16S ribosomal RNA". It matches the Rfam family "Bacterial small subunit ribosomal RNA", at positions 494 to 742 of the family's 1533-position model. The record is from RNAcentral.
UGGCUAACUCCGUGCCAGCAGCCGCGGUAAUACGGAGAGGGCUAGCGUUAUUCGGAAUUAUUGGGCGUAAAGGGCGCGUAGGCGGAUUAAUAAGUUAAAAGUGAAAUCCCAAGGCUCAACCUUGGAAUUGCUUUUAAAACUGUUAAUCUAGAGAUUGAAAGAGGAUAGAGGAAUUCCUAAUGUAGAGGUGAAAUUCGUAAAUAUUAGGAGGAACACCAGUGGCGAAGGCGUCUAUCUGGUUCAAAUCUG